GAUGAAGAACGCAGCGAAAUGCGAUAAGUAAUGUGAAUUGCAGAAUUCAGUGAAUCAUCGAAUCUUUGAACGCACCUUGCACCCUUUGGCAUUCCGAAGGGUAUGCUCGUUUGAGUGUCAUUGUACUCUCACUCUCCCGAUGCUUUUGGAUCGGGAGUGGUGGACUUGGGUGUUGCUUCUUUGCUGUGGCUCGCCUCAAAUGGAGUAGUGCAACUCUUGGUUGGACAUAGUACGGCGUGAUAAGUGUCUUCGCCGGCGCCUCAUUAUAGAGGGUGGCCGAUCGGGAGCUCUGUGCUUCAAACCGUCUUCGGACAACAUCUGACAACUUGACCUCAAAUCGAGUAGGACUACCCGCUGAACUUAAGCAUAUCAAUAAGCGGAGGA
RNAcentral lists this unclassified non-coding RNA (384 nucleotides) under soil metagenome. RNAcentral describes it as "partial contains 5.8S ribosomal RNA, internal transcribed spacer 2, and large subunit ribosomal RNA". The stretch from base 1 to 120 matches the Rfam family "5.8S ribosomal RNA", at positions 35 to 154 of the family's 154-position model. The record is from RNAcentral.